This is an RNA transcript of Dreissena polymorpha, 830 nucleotides long. RefSeq lists it as uncharacterized. The transcript has 4 exons. The record is from RefSeq and is a predicted model, not a curated record. Lineage: Eukaryota; Metazoa; Mollusca; Bivalvia; Myida; Dreissenidae.
UUUCAUUAACUCGUUCAUGCCCGGGCUGUGUCCAUCUGUCACAUAGAUAACAGUGCCUGUAUUUCCUGUACUAGAUCCAACUAUUACAUGUUGCCAUACUGUUGAUGAGAUGAGUAGAUUUCUUUUGCUUGUUUUCACCAUUUUAGUCCUGGUAAGCACGUGCUGGGGCCAAUGUCCCACUGGUUCCCCUCUUAAAGGCCACAACUGCGGACGAGGCGGUACGGCUUGCCCUCACCAUUACUACUGCGAGAUCUCCCCCGUGGAUGCCUAUGCCGUCUGCUGUCCGACCCACUGCCCCACCGGCCCUCCGCUGAUGGACAAUACCGGGACGCCCGUCUACUGCGGGCGAGGUGGGGUCUCGUGCCCCUCGUUGUACUACUGUGAGAUUGCGCCCAACGACGCAUGGGCAGUGUGCUGUGCCAAUUGAGGAAACACCUUAUGCAUUGACAGAAACCAUAGUAUGUUUUGUCAUACUCUUCAACGGGGUACAUUUUACGGGGCAUGUAGACGUUUUUGGUCACGUGAUGAACUCGUGAUCUCUCAUCAGCAGUUUGUGGAUCCACCCGCCCUACCUGCGGACAGACAGAAUCAAGACCUAUUCACAAUAAUUCACUAUUUAAACCCUGAUACUACAAUAUAACAUUUUAUUGCUCAUAUUGGCAUACUUAAUUCUUACCACAGUCUAUCUAUAUGUUACAAUAAUGUGUAUAUUACAAUGAAUACAAACUUACAUAUAACUUGAAAUAAGAAGACAUUUAAACUCUGUUUUGUUUUAAAACUAAUGUUGUUAAUUUGUUACACAAGGCCUAAUGAACUCAUUUUCACAUCAA